This 723-nucleotide non-coding RNA is filed under the name Tettigometridae sp. The record is from RNAcentral. Lineage: Eukaryota; Metazoa; Arthropoda; Insecta; Hemiptera; Tettigometridae.
AUAAUAAUUUGAUUUUUGUUUAACAUUUUAGUUUUAAUAUUUUUAUGCAUGUAUAUUUUUUAAAGAUCUUAAUUUUUUAAUAAUUAUAAAUUUAUUUUCAGUGUUUAUUAUUUCAGAAAAUUGAUAUUUCAAUUAAAGAAAUUUUUUUAUAUCAGAAAAAUGUUGUGCCAGCAUUCGCGGUUAUUCAUCAUGAUAAAAUUAAUAUUUUCGGUAUUACAGAAUUUAAUAAAAUUCCUUUUUUUUUAGGUUAAAUUUAAUAAAAGGUUUAUUUUAUUUCUGGGGAAUCUGAUCUUUAAACCAGGAUUAGAUACCCUGUUAUUUCAGGGAAAAUUUUAUUUCCGGUUAUUAGAUUUUUUGAAAUUUAAUGGAUCUGGCGGUUAUUAAAUCUUUUUAGAGGAACCUGUAAUUUAAAUGAUAGUCCACGAUUUUUUUUAUCUUAAUUAUUCUUGUAUAUCUCUGUCGUUGAAUGUAGUGAAAAUUUAUUUUCUUUUUUUAUUUUAAAAUUUAUGUUAGGUCAAGGUGCAGUUAUAUUAAGAUUAUUAUGGGUUACAUUAAUUUUUGUUAUUGAAUAUUAACAUAAUUUUAAUUUGAAAUUGGAUUUAAAAGUAAUUUAUUUUUUUAAAAUGGUUGAAUUAGCUCUUUAUAAUGUACAUAUCGCCCGUCAUUCUCACAAAGUGAGACAAGUCGUAACAAAGUAGGUGUACCUGAAGGUGUAUCUAGAAA